Lycium barbarum (goji berry) is the source of this 3573-nucleotide long non-coding RNA. RefSeq lists it as uncharacterized. NCBI's taxonomy places the organism in Eukaryota, Viridiplantae, Streptophyta, Magnoliopsida, Solanales, Solanaceae. The transcript is spliced from 10 exons. The record is from RefSeq and is a predicted model, not a curated record.
CUCUUUCUCUCACAAACUCCCUCUCAAACUCCCUCUCUUCCAUUUUAUACUGUUUUUUUUUUUUUUAAAUAUCAAAAUUCCAUUUUGUUUCCUAGUAAAUAUCGAUUUCAACUUCUAGAUGUAAAAUUAUACACUAUUUUCGUUGUUUCUUUGAUGUUAUCAAAUCUUCUACAACUCACAUAGUUUUUGUGUUGCUUAUUCGACUUUCUUGUUUGAAUUUCUGGUAAAAGCUUCUAAUGGGGACUCCAACCUCUAAAAUCAAUCGACUUUUUGCUUCUUCUAGCCCGAACAUUGGUCCGGAUCCAUCUUUCGAUCUGCAUGCAUUCACUCAAUCUCCUGUUAAGAAAGAUGGAAAACAACAUAUUGUUACCCCCAAGGUAGUUCAACAAAAAAUGGUUACACGAAGCAAAGGCAAACGAAAGGGGAAAGAAAUUUCGCUUGGAAUCUCAAACGAAAUCGGUUCUGAUUCUGAUUCUGAUUUUGAAGAUGAAUUUGCUUCUCCUUCUUCUAAGAAAAAGAAGGUUGACAGUGGUAAAACAUCUAAUCCGAAGAAAGAAAAUGAGUUUCAUAUUGUUUUACAAAAAGAUGUUAAAAAGGGUCAAACAUCAAAGAGAAACCAUGCAAAACCGAAAUUGAAGGUAAAGAAGGUUCAAACCAGAUUUUGUACUUACACCAACAUCAAAGCUAUUGAGCAUAUAAAGUUGCGAUUAAAGUCUAAGAAGCAAUUGCAGAUGUUUAGGGAGUCCCCAUUUGGUCAUUUUCUUGAUUUACCGAAUAUCAAGGUGCACCCACAACUCAUUCGCAACUUGAUGUAUGCGGAGACUGAUAAUGAUAGAGAUGAUAUGUUUAUCAUCAAGUUGAAUGCAGAAGAGCUCUUUUUUGGCAUAAGAGAGUUUGCCAUUAUUAGUGGUUUGAAAUGCGGCAUGAUGAGUGAAUUUGUUCCGGACCAUAAUUCACCAAAUAGGUUAAUGAAUAGUUACUUUCCCAAUCAACAAAGGGUACUCAAGAGUAAGUUGAUAAGUUUUUAUGAAGGAAGCAUUUGUGUGGAUGAUGAUGAUCUUGUAAAAAUGUCCAUUUUGUAUUUUAUUAGCACAUUUCCUAUUCUCAACUGAGCCUUCCAAAUCUUACGUAUCUAGGCAGCACUUUGACUUAGUUGAGAGUGGUGAAUAUAGGAACUAUCCGUGGGGAAACGAUUGUUUUAACGAAACACUUGCUUUUGUUAGUCACCAAUUGAGUGGUGAUCCAUCGUAUUAUAGGGUUAGGGGCUUUCCACUUGCUUUGCAGGUUUGGUUUUAUGAAUGUUGCUCAAAGGUUGAUCUUUUUGUUGCUACUCGUAUUCGAAACUACAUUCCUCGGAUUCUUAAUUGGCAAACAUCCCAAGAUACAUUGUACAUUUGACUAUUUGAAGAGGGGAUGUUCAAAACUUAUGGGAAUCAGGUGGUUUUUUCCAACAUCACACCAGCAAAUGAUGAAUUGCCACUUCUCACUGAGUUACCAGAUCCGCCACGACCACGUACUACUACUAGUGAUACACCAUUUGUACAUGGUUCUUUGUUUGAGGCAUUGAAGAAUGAGGUUGUAAAUGUAGUUAUCGAAUUCACUAUUUUUAAUCUUUUUUAAAAGGUAUGGAAUGAUUAUGAGUCGGUUAACACAUAUAUGGCGCAUAAAUUCUACUUUUUUAUAGGUUCGUGAAGAUUUGAAACUAUUUCAGAAGAAGGUAGAGGAUGAUUUUAAAUAGUUGAAGCAACAUUUGGAUAAAUCAAUAUUAGACAUACUUACAGAGAUCAAGUCCUUACAUGGCAGGCAGACGGAAAAUAAUGAAUAUGAGGGUACUGGAGGUGUGAAGGUUGUAGAUGGAAAAAUAAUUUAUAGUGGUGACCUGAAUGACAAGUAUCAUGACAUACAAGCUGAGGUUGAUGAACAAGCGACUAAGGGUGCGGUUGGUGGGCUUGAUGGAAGUGUGCCAAUAUCUGGUCAAGCUGUAGUAUAUUUGAAGACCCAUACUGGUAUGCAUGCUGGGAUUGGUGAAGCAUGUUAUAAUGAUCAAGAUGAUGUAGAAGCAUUGAAGAGUCUACAUGAACAAGAAGAAUUGAAGAUUCAAGAUACUUCUUUAGAUGAUGUGGUUGUUGAAAUUGAUAAAAUGGGUAGUUUGUGCAAUUCUGUCUCCAAAACCCCUACUCUUGAUGACAUUGAAUUGCCUGCAUAUAGCGAGACCCAGAUUGUUGCGAUUGAAAAUAGUUAGUAUUCUAACAAUUACACUCCUGAACAACAGCCAAGACUCAGAAAGACUGGAAAAUACAAAUCAUCUCCGUAUGUUGGUUUUAGUUCAGCUGGCAGCAACGCGGGUAAAUCACCUAUAUAUUUCAACAUAAAACAUCCUUUGCAAAUAACAAUGGAUUCGAAGUUGAUGAUGCAUGCUCAAUGAAUUUACAUCUUGGGUAUAUGCUAAAGUCUCUAAACGGAAGAACAGAAUUUCAGCAUACACUUUAAAGGACAACAAGAUUGUCAAUCCUUAUGAUUUGGAAGUUAAGAAAGUUGACAAAAUGGAGUGGUUCUACAAUGUCAUUCAAACUGGGAAAGCGUGGGAAGACUCGCAUGUUGAUGUCAUUAUGUAUUACUUGAGGAAAAAAGCAAAGUAUGGUCCAAAUAACCCAGUGAGAUACACAACAACAAAUUGUUUUUUCAUAAAGUGGGUUGAGGCUAUCCACAAGCAGUACAAGGAAUACAAAAAUGAUAAGUGUUUUAUUAUUGCUGAGCAUAAUGUGGCAAAAAUUAUUCGUGGGUUUAAAUUGAUUGCAAAUAUUUCUUGGGAUACAGUUGAUAUGUGCUCAUCCCAGUCAAUAUAAGCGAAGAAUACCAUUGGGUGUUGGUUGUUUUAUGUAUUAAAAGAAGGUGUUUCUAUGUAUAUGAUUCAUUCCUGGGUGGGGCUAUGCAUACUAAUUCAAUUCGAGAAGUUGUUGAAAGGCUGGCCACCAUGAUACCUCUCUUUUUCAAUUGCACUGGAUUUUAUGGGAAAAGAAAUGACAUAAACUGGAUAACUGAACCAGCAUAUGUUGGGAAGAGCUUUGAUGAUCCUUUCGAAUAUGUCUUUGUGGAUCAUUUGCCAGAACAACAUCCGGAGUCUAAUGAUUGUGGGUUAUACACAUGUGCUUUUGCUGAAUAUAUCAGUCAAGGUGUAUUUGAAAUUUUAGAAGAAGAUUUUGAUGCCGAUCUUCAUCGUCGGAGGUAUGGUGCCCUGCUGUGGGAUUAUGCAAGAAAAAAGCAGGCUGAUGGAGCUAUUAGUGAGAGUGAAGUAACAGGAAAUGUUACUAGCAGAUUGGGUGGUCCAAAAAUUUGCAAGGAACCAGUACCUGAAAGGGAGAAAUUGCCGAGACUGAAACGAAAAAUUUAGAAUUCUUAAAAUUAGUGACUAGUUAUUAGUUUGAUGGUGUAAGAAAGAUAAUUUUGUUGAUGUUGGCCUAAGUAGUUUUCUGAUUUUGUUAGUUAAUUAAGUUUGAUUAAUAUGAUGCUUUUAUUAUUCUUACACCUUAUAUCAUUAGUUAUUAAUAUGUUUACCAAUGUAGUUAUGUUAAU